This is a non-coding RNA of Delphinapterus leucas (beluga whale), 293 nucleotides long. NCBI's taxonomy places the organism in Eukaryota, Metazoa, Chordata, Mammalia, Artiodactyla, Monodontidae. The record is from RefSeq and is a predicted model, not a curated record.
GUUGCCUGACAGAGGAUGGUGCUGAUGCUGCCCUGGUGCUGGCUCCCGGAUGGGCGGGUUUUAGUGUCCCAUCUUGCAGGUUCGGAACAAGGAGAUGAGGUCAAGGGAAGGAAAGCGCAUACGGGAAGCAGGGGAGAGCUCAGAGAAGAUAAACACUCAAGUGAAGCUGGCCUGUGAGGUGCCAUCAUGUGGCAACGGCCACAGCAGCUGGAGCAGGGAGACCUCCCCCAGCAAACUGCCUCCUGAGAAUUUGGACCCGGGGCUCCCAGAACCAGCAGUGGCUGUGUGACUGA